This 175-nucleotide ribosomal RNA is filed under the name uncultured Bacillaceae bacterium. Its description in RNAcentral is "partial 16S ribosomal RNA". It matches the Rfam family "Bacterial small subunit ribosomal RNA", at positions 335 to 503 of the family's 1533-position model. The record is from RNAcentral. Lineage: Bacteria; Bacillati; Bacillota; Bacilli; Caryophanales; Bacillaceae.
ACUCCUACGGGAGGCAGCAGUAGGGAUAUCUUCCGCAAUGGGCGAAAGCCUGACGGAGCAACGCCGCGUGAGCGAAGAAGGCCUUCGGGUCGUAAAGCUCUGUUGUCAGGGAAGAACAAGUACCGGAGUAACUGCCGUACCUNGACGUACUGAACCACAAAGCACCGNCUAUUCG